CGAAGAAACUCAAAUUAAUAAAGUCGGCUCAAAGGGUGGUUAAAUACACAAAUUAAAUAAGGCUAAAAACUAACUCCGCUGUAGCACGCAAUAGUUUAAAUAAGUACAACUUCGAAAGUGGCCUUACUAAAAUAAACUUGAACCCACGACAACUAGGAGACAAACUGGGAUUAGAUACCCCACUAUGCCUAGUUAUAAACUUUGAUUUAUCCGCCAGAAUACUACGAGCAACAGCUUAAAACUCAAAGGACUUGGCGGUGCUCCACACCCCCUAGAGGAGCCUGUUCUAUAAUCGAUAAUCCACGAUAAACCUCACCAUCUAUUGCCAAUUCAGCCUAUAUACCACCGUCCAGCCCACCCUUUAAAGGAUAAACAGUAGGCACAACUAUAUACAUAAAAACGUCAGGUCAAGGUGUAGCAUAUAAGAUGGGAAGAAAUGGGCUACAUUUUCUAAAUUAGAAAAUUACGGAAAAGCUUGUGAAACUAAAGCUAUAAAGGAGGAUUUAACAGUAAAAAGAAAAAAGAGUGUUCUUUUUAAACCGGCAAUGGAGCGCGCACACACCGCCCGUCACCCUCUUCAAACAACUAUAAGCAAUAAAUAAACAAAGAUUAAAAAAAGAAGAGGCAAGUCGUAACAUGGUAAGUCUACCGGAAGGUGAACUUGGAAUAUC
Molecule: ribosomal RNA, 671 nt
Filed under: Paramesotriton caudopunctatus (Guizhou warty newt)
Lineage: Eukaryota; Metazoa; Chordata; Amphibia; Caudata; Salamandridae
Description: partial 12S ribosomal RNA
Rfam family: Bacterial small subunit ribosomal RNA
Source: RNAcentral